This 304-nucleotide ribosomal RNA is filed under the name uncultured bacterium. Its description in RNAcentral is "partial 16S ribosomal RNA". It matches the Rfam family "Bacterial small subunit ribosomal RNA", at positions 506 to 807 of the family's 1533-position model. The record is from RNAcentral.
CAUCAGUAGCCGCGGGAAAACGAAGGGGGCUAGCGUUGUUCGGAUUUACUGGGCGUAAAGGGCGCGUAGGCGGGCGAAUAAGUCAGGGGUGAAAUCCCAAGGCUCAACCUUGGAACUGCCUUUGAUACUGUUUGUCUUGAGUCCGAGAGAGGUAAGUGGAACUGCGAGUGUAGAGGUGAAAUUCGUAGAUAUUCGCAAGAACACCAGUGGCGAAGGCGACACACUGGCUCAUUACUGACGCUGAGGCGCGAAAGCGUGGGGAGCAAACAGGAUUAGAUACCCCGGUAGUCCCUGUCUCUUAUAC